RNAcentral lists this ribosomal RNA (479 nucleotides) under Premnobius ambitiosus. Its description in RNAcentral is "partial 16S ribosomal RNA". It matches the Rfam family "Bacterial large subunit ribosomal RNA", at positions 1797 to 2545 of the family's 2925-position model. The record is from RNAcentral. Lineage: Eukaryota; Metazoa; Arthropoda; Insecta; Coleoptera; Curculionidae.
CGCCUGUUUUACAAAAACAUGGCUUUUUGGGGAAGUAUAUAAGGUCGGGCCUGCCCGGUGAAGUUUAAUUUUUAACGGCCGCAGUAUUUUGACUGUGCAAAGGUAGCAUAAUCAUUAGUUUUUUAAUUGGAAGCUAGCAUGAAAGGUUUAAUGAGAAAAUUGCUGUCUCAAAUUUAAUUUUUGAAAUUUAUUUUUAAGUAAAAAAGCUUAAAUUUUUUAAAAAGACGAGAAGACCCUAUAGAGUUUUAUAUUUUUAUAUAAAUUUAGAAUUAGGAUAAUUUAUUAUUUGUUGAAGAAGUAUUUGGUUGGGGUGAUUGGAAAAUUUAAUUAACUUUUUCUAUUUUAAUAUAUUUAUUUGUAUACUAUUUGAUCCUUUUUUUGAGAUUGUAAGUUUUAAAUUACCUUAGGGAUAACAGCGUAAUUUUUUCUAAGAGUUCUUAUCGAAGAAAGAGUUUGCGACCNCGAUGUUGGGAUUAAAA